RNAcentral lists this small RNA (2659 nucleotides) under Oryza sativa Japonica Group (Japanese rice). Its description in RNAcentral is "sRNA Os07g0458025". The record is from RNAcentral. Lineage: Eukaryota; Viridiplantae; Streptophyta; Magnoliopsida; Poales; Poaceae.
CUUGGUGAGGCAGUAGAGAUGCUGAAUCCCAAAAUCAAAGCUGCCAUCCCAAGACUUCACUUGAAAUGCACUGAUCAGGAUAUGAAGGUACUCGAGCUUUGCCAUAGAUCCUGCCUCAAAAACCAAUCCCAUAUGAUAGCAGUGAAUCUUAAAGAAUGUUAGAGAUUGGAAUCCUUGGCUACUGAUGGUGAGCUUCUCUUUAGGGGCCUCAUCGGAGAAUAGGUAUAGAGUGAGGAGAGAAGGUAUGCUUCCAAGCAUCCUCAGAUCUUCUUGGUUAAUUCUUUUGACAUAUAUAUGCAAGUACUGAAGGUUUGCAAGGGAUUCAGUCCAGUUUGGUAUCCUGGAAAUGGGAUGCCAUCGACCAAUGUAUAAUUUCCGGAGUCUACAAGGAGCAAGGGUCCACAAAUGUAGUGAGAAAUCGUCUUCCUCGUCAUGUCCAUGGAUAUCAAGAGAAAGAGACUCAAGGUAGCAUGUGCCUAGCUUGGUGAGAGAAAUGGCCAGAUUUUCCCUGUAAGUUUCUGCAUUUCCUUGAAAGUCGACGUAGUUCCAAACUACCCUCAACACCCUUAGACUGGAGAUCUUUCCUAUCUCUUGCAGAAAUGUUGAAGGAUACAUGAAAACAGAGAAACCUGUUAGCUCUUCCAAUGCUUGCAUAUUUCCAAUUCCAUCAGGUAGUUUAACAUGGCAAUCAACAAGCAGAUGCGCCAACCGUUGAAGCUGAACAAUUGCUGAAGGCAAUUCUUUCACAUGAGUUGAUCUGAUGUCUAAUGUCUCCAGAUAUUGAAGUUCCCGUAUCUGACAUGGCAGAUCACUUAUAUCUGUCCCUUUGAUGUUCAGAUACCUCAACUGAAUUAGUCUUCCUAUACUUUUAAGAUCAUGGUUUUUCAAUCCACUACAAUUUUCAAGGUCCAACACACGCAGACCAUAAAAACCCAGAAGAGGAGGCACCUGUCCAGCGUGCAAAAAUGUCGUCAAUGACCGGACAUGGGAUCUGAGCAGGUAUGUUGGCAUUGUGACACUUCCUUCACUGUUUUUAUGGAAUGAUAGGCGACGAAUCUUGCCAGUUGGAGUAGAUGUGAGAUCUGAAGCACCAACCAUAGUAACAAAAUUUUCUUCAUUUGAUCUGGACACGACGAAAUCAAGGAUGGUAUCGUGCACUCGGCAAGCAUGCACCUGACCAUCAUCCUCUAUGUCUACUGGCUGGAGCAAGCUCCUAUUGAUGAGCUCAUUGAAAUAAUUCUCUCCUAUCUCAUAUAGGCUUUCCCCUUGUUUUGCAUGAAUGAAUCCUUCAGCAAUCCAUCUACCUAUUAGACGCUCUUUCUUUAUCACAUAAUCUUCUGGAAAUAUACUCAAAUACAUUAAACAUGUCUUUAGAUGAUGAGGAAGAUCAAAGUAGCUGAGAGAUAAAACCCAUGCCAUUGUUUCAAUAUCUGGACUGUUUUCUUGUGUAUAAUUAAUUCGACUUUUCACCUUAUCCCACUGGUCUAAUGAUUUUGGUUUGGUAGCCAGCAAACUUGAUAUAGAAAUAAUAGCCAAUGGUAAGCCACCGCACUUUCUCAAUAUGUUAUUGGCAGCUUCCCUCAAUUGAGGAGGGCACCUUUCAUCAGAAUUGAAAAUUCUUCUGAAAAACAAUCUUUUGGAGUCAGUAGCACAAAGAGCUUUCAUUUCAUAUACUUGAUCACCAUAAGAGCAGCAGCAAGAUUUAGCUAUUUCAUUUAUACGUGUUGUGGUGACUAUUCUGCUACCUUGACUGUUCUUGACCAAUGCACACUCAAUUAUUCUCCAAGUUUGUGCAUCCCAUAUAUCAUCAAUGACAAGAAAAUAUCUGUUUCACAUGACUUUUAAUUAUCAACCAAGGAUGUAUUGAUACAGAAAAGUUUGUUCCAAAAAGCAAUAGAAAGGGAACAUCAUUUGAGCCUGAAUUUUGCCAGAACAUGCUUCACGUCAGGAUUUUGCGACACGGUCACAAAAGCGCUGCAAUCAAACUGAUUUUUAACUUCAAGGUAAACUUGGUUUGCAAGUGUGGUCUUGCCCAAACCUCCACACCCAACGAUCGCCAUUGUUCUGAGCCGUUGUGAGAUGCCUCCUUGCGUAUCCAUUAGCCAUUUGAUGAUCUUAUCCUUUGGUCCAUCGAUUCCAACAAGUCUCUCCGCCUCCGUGUAGAGAGCGGACAAUCGAGGAUCAACUGAUCUAGUUCUAGAACCGGAGGCAUCUCUGUGCAGAUGUGCUUCAGAGCUCAUGCUGGAGAUGUUCAUCGUGUCGUACCUUCUGUACCGAUCGCUCUCGUCCAUGACACGAGCCUUCAGCUCUUGUAUCCGCCCGCUGAUCCGAUGCGACAACUGUAGCCCCUUGAUUCUCCAUGCCAUCUUCUUGAUGACCCCGGCUUUCCCGGUGAGGGAGCCGAGGUGAUGCACGAAGAGGUCGAUGCAAUCCUCGAUGUCGUAGGCCAUCUCCCGCACCCUGUCCCUCUACUCCUUUGUCUGGGCAUCGAUUUCCUCCAUGUCUGCGAGCCUCUCAAGCAUCGAGUUCAUGCUGCGAAGCUCGCUCUCGAGGAACCUGAUCUCCCCCCUUAACCCUUUGAGAGAUUUGUGUUCGCUUCCGAGCAGGUCAUUGAGCUUGAAGAGAAGAGAGUUCAGUGCCCCCGUCAGAGCGCUUACCA